This 401-nucleotide long non-coding RNA is filed under the name Dunaliella salina. RNAcentral describes it as "long non-coding RNA (DSAL_LNC000341)". Lineage: Eukaryota; Viridiplantae; Chlorophyta; Chlorophyceae; Chlamydomonadales; Dunaliellaceae. The record is from RNAcentral.
UUCAAUGUGUUGAUUGAGGUCAAGUGUUCAUGCCCUUUUAAAGGAGGUUUUGAUGAUGGCCUGUGGAGAUGGCUGCCGUSUGCAAGGGCCUUGAGUGCUGAUGAUAUUCGUGUCAAUGAGUUUGUCCAAUGCCAGAUUCAGAUGCUGGCUUCAGGUGUGCSGCACUGCCUGCUUGUGAGGUGGAGAGUUAAAGAGUGCAAGGUGUUGUAUGUCCCUUUUGAUGGUGCAUGGUGCAAGCAAAUGCUGAUUGUACUGAGCCAAAUUGUCUUGGCAGCUGUGGCUACCAAUGGGAAGUGCCCACAAUUUUCCAGCAUUUCAGGGCAUGAUGAGUUUGUACGGGAUACAAGGGAGCGAUGCAGCAGGCUUCUGGAGCCUUGCACUGUGCCAAAUGCCAAUGUGUG